AACUGAAGAUGUGCCCACCAACUAAGGACUGGACUGGGGGACCACUGGAAAACUGUCCCUGCAGGAACAGAAAAGGACAAUGGGAUGGAUCUGUUCACGGAGGGGAAGUAGGCCACUGCUAGGAAGCCUGACAGGGAACCCGAAGCAGGGAGGGAUCCCAGGAGAAGCCCAGCUACCACUUGGCUCCCACAAAAUGGUCACCUUGAGACUCUUUAUAGAAGAGGAGAAAAUACCACCACCACCACCACCACCACCACCAUUUAAUAACCCUGCCCUAAAUGUGGAGAAAGCAACCACCCACCCCCAAAGGAAACUCCGACAGGGUACAUGUAUACUACAUACAGCAUUGAUCAAGUAAUUUGCAUCAAUAAGUGAUGUUGUACUUUUGACUGGAGAAGCAGCUCCCCCACCGUUUGAGGGAAAUAGUCUUACCCCACCCCCAGGACCCCUCAAGAAAAGGUUUCAAUGGCUUCACAUAAGACAAUACCAUCGUGACAGAGAGCAGUGAUCUUCAGCCUCCACGUCUGCUGUGUUUACUUCCUGGAAAAUAACGGAAUGCCAGUGUACUCCAAAUGGAAGUAUGGGAUCAGGUCCAUACAGGAUUAGGUGCCCAUGCAGGGGAGUAGCAGAGUAUUACCACUUCACACUGGUAGCAGACUGGGGAACAAGUAUGGGUGUGGAUUUACAGAGUAUUAAACAAAAGAGAGUGGCGUACGAUAGGCCAGACAUGGAUACAGGGUUCCUCCUGCAGGAAAUGUGAUUUAACAUGUUGCCUUGAGAACUGAGAAUGGUCAUAAUAAUGACUCAGUGGCUGCCUUCAGUCAACUAGGUUGAAAUACCAGAGCUUCCCUGACUUUCUCAGGGAAGGAAGACUCCAAGGUCCGAGGGAGAUGGGAAUGGGGACCUGUUGUGUGCACACCUGCUCGUUUACCACAAAGUUGGUGGCUUAUGAGAACAAAAUCAUGUUCUCUCAUGGUUCUGGAGGCCAGGAACCCAAAAUUCAUUUCACAGAGACUAAGGUGUCAGCAGGGCUGUACUCCCUCUGGAGAUCCCAGGGCUCCAGGGAACAGUGUAUCCCUUCCCUCUGGUAGCUCCCGGUGGCCACCAACCUCCCUUGGCUUGUGCCCACAUCACCCCAGUCUGUUUCCAUGGACACAGUGCCUCCUCUUUUGUCAAGUCUCCCUUUGCUUCUCUAAGGGUGCUUGUGAUUCCAUGUGGGGCUCACUCGGAAAACCCAGGACUCAAGAUCCUUAACCUAGAUCCCAUUGAUGGGAGUUAGAU
Molecule: long non-coding RNA, 1281 nt
Organism: Neofelis nebulosa (Clouded leopard)
Lineage: Eukaryota; Metazoa; Chordata; Mammalia; Carnivora; Felidae
Exons: 3
Source: RefSeq, a predicted model, not a curated record